Molecule: long non-coding RNA, 21269 nt
Filed under: Populus trichocarpa (black cottonwood)
Lineage: Eukaryota; Viridiplantae; Streptophyta; Magnoliopsida; Malpighiales; Salicaceae
Description: long non-coding RNA (PTRI_LNC000480)
Source: RNAcentral
GUGUGUCCACAGCUCAAAGUUCUUUUAUUAGAACUGGAUGAUGAUUUGAAUGUUCCAGAGAGGUUUUUUGAAGGGAUGAAAGCAAUAGAAGUUUUGUCUCUAAAGGGAGGGUGUUUGUCAUUGCAAUCACUUCAAUUCUCAACGAACCUUCAAUCGUUGCUGUUGAUCGAGUGUAAAUGCAAGGACCUCAUUUCAUUGAGAAAGCUGCAAAGACUUAAGAUUCUUGUUUUCAGGUGGUGCGACUCCAUUGAAGAAUUACCUGAUGAAAUUGGGGAGCUCAAGGAGUUAAGGUUGUUGGAUUUGACAAGUUGUGAAAAUCUAAGAAGGAUUCCUGUGAAUUUGAUAGGAAGGUUGAAGAAGUUAGAAGAACUGCUGAUCGGGGAUUUCAGCUUCAAGGGAUGGGAUGUUGUUGGAUGUGACAGCACAGAAGGAAUGAAUGCAAGCCUAACAGAACUAAAUUCGCUGUCUCAUUUAGCUGUAUUAUCAUUGAAGAUACCGAAGGUUGAAUGCAUUCCCAGAGAUUUUGUUUUUCCCAGGUUGCUCAAAUAUGAUAUAGUGUUAGGGGAUUGGUAUUCAGAACUCGAUAAAGAAUACCCAACCUCGACAAGAUUAUAUUUGGGUGAUAUAAGCGCCACAUCCUUAAAUGCAAAGACAUUUGAGCAGUUGUUUCCUACUGUGUCUCAUAUUUGUUUUUGGAGAGUGGAGGGUUUAAGAAAUAUAGUAUUGUCCUCUGAUCAGAUGACCACCCAUGGCCAUGGGUCGCAAAAGGACUUCUUACAAAGAUUAGAAUAUGUCAAAGUGAAACAAUGUGGGGAUAUUCGCACUCUGUUUCCAGCAAAAUGGCGGCAAGCUUUGAAAAAUCUAAGGAGAGUGAAAACUUAUGAUUGCAAAUCAUUGGAAGAGGUAUUUGAAUUUGAUGAGGCUGAAGAAGGAAUUAACAAGGAGAAGGAGCUGCCGCUACUGUCAUCUUUAACAACGUUACGGUUGUCAGAUUUACCUGAGCUCAAAUAUAUAUGGAAGGGGCCCACUAGACAUGUCAGCCUCCAAAGUCUUAUUUAUCUGAAGUUGUCGUCUCUUAACAAACUGACAUUUAUCUUCACACCGUCCCUCGCUCAAAGUCUUAUUCAUCUGGAAACACUAGAGAUAGCACAUUGCGAUGAAUUGAAGCAUCUUAUCAGAGAACAGGAUGACGAAAUGAGGACAGAGUCUCUUGGCUUCCCGAAACUAAAAACUCUCUCUAUAAGAUUCUGUGGUAAACUUGAAUAUGUUUUCCCUGUCUCCGUGUCUCCAAGUCUUCAGAACCUGGAAGAGAUGGAGAUUGAUUUUGCUGACAAUUUAAAGCAAGUAUUUUACAGUGGAGAAGGAGAUGACGUCAUCGUCAAGUCUAAAAUUAAAGAUGGCAUCAUCGACUUCCCUCAGCUAAGAAAAUUGUCUCUUUUUUCCGUAUCAAGUUGCAGCUUUUUUGGUCCAAAGGAUUUUGCUGCCCAAUUGCCUUCUUUGCAAGAGUUAACCAUUGAUGGCCUCGAAGAAUGGGGUAAUUUGUUGGCACAGCUUCGAGUACGUCCUUUAUAUUUCUCCAUUUUUUUUCUUUUCUAAUUUAAAUUGUCAACUUCAAUAUAUUGUGAUAAUUUGUUCUAUCUUCCUCCAAAUUUCGAAAACUAAAGUAAUUGAUAAGUUCUUUAACCAUCCACUGAAUUUAAUUGAUGAUUUAAAUUGGCUUAGGAAGUUAGACAUCAAUUACUGUAAUGUAAUUUCUUAUUUCUUCCUUCAGAUUUCUAAAACUAAAGUAAAUGGAUAAAUGCUAGCAAAUCCUUUAGCCAUCCACUGAAUUUAAAAGGAGUGAAAUUGAGGCUCUUCCGCCAAUUAAUGGAAAGUAUUUGAAAGGAAUGAAUAUUGAGUAUUUUAUUUCAGUGCUGCAACUUAUGACAGAUGGUUCAAAAAAUUAAUAAAAAUUGGUUUUUUAAUCCAAUUUUCUAAAGAAUUAGAGUCAAAAGGUAAAACUUGAAACUUUCUAUUUAAAUACAAUAUUUUCUCAUUCAAAGAACUUCAAAAGCACCAAAUUUGUAUUGAAUUCAAAAAACAUAUUUUUUAUAUAUAUUUUUUCAAGUAUUUUCUUUACAAUUUUUUUUAUAAAAUAAUAAUUUCAAUGACCAAUAAUCAAGCAUUUUUAUUGAAAAAAUUUACUAAUAUGUAAAAUUCAAAUUAUUUUCUUUUAUAUUUUUAUUUUUGAUAAUGUCAAAAAAAAAUUAUUAUAAAUUGAAUAUAAAAAAUUAUUUCUUUUGAGUUAAUAAUUAUAUUCUUUUCAUGAUUGCUUUUCAUUUAACUAAUAUAAAAUAAUAGUUGAUAUUUGGAUUAUCAUAAAUAUAAAAAAUUAUGAUUUUAUAUUCCUGUGACCCCGUUGCCCUAUCUAUUUAUAUUUUCUUGUUGAAAAGUAUUUCGGCAUUGGGGAUAAUUGGUUCAUCUAUUUAACAAAAUUAUAUAAUAGUUUCAAAGUCCACAAAAAUUACUAGGAAUUAUAUCUAACAAAUUGGUACCCUUAUUUUCUUUUGAUGCAGGGGCUUACAAGUUUGGAAACAUUAGAGUUGUCCUUCCUGCUUGUGCCUGACUUGAGGUGUAUAUGGAAGGGUCUCGUGCCAUGCAAUUUGACUACUUUGAAGGUGAAAAAGUGUGAGAGACUGACACAUGUAUUCACAAACAGCAUGAUUGCUAGUCUAAUUCAACUGAAAAUUCUAGAGAUAUCAAAUUGUGAGGAAUUGGAGCAAAUUAUUGCUAAGGAUAAUGAUGAUGAAAAGGAUCAGAUAUUGUCAGGAAGUGAUCUCCAAUCUUCAUACUUCCCUAAUUUGUGUCAACUUGAGAUUAGAGGAUGCAACAAGUUGAAGAGUCUCUUCCCGGUAACCAUGGCUUCAGGUCUCAAAAAGCUCCAAAUACUUGAAGUAAGAGAAUCUUCUCAAUUAUUGGGAGUAUUUGGGCAAGAUAACCAUGCUUCACCUGCCAAUAUUGAGAAGGAGAUGGUGCUCACUGAUCUGCAGGAGUUGUUGCUUGUACAAUUACCAAAUAUUUCCCGCUUUAGUCUCGGAUGUUAUGAUUUCUUGUUCCCUCAUUUGAAGAAGUUGGAGGUGGAUGGAUGCCCAAAGCUGACCACAGAAUCUGCUACUACAUCAAAUGACUCAAUGAGUGCUCAAUCAAAGGUGCUGCUGAUUUAACUUGAUUUCUUGCCUCUCGUUUUGUUUUAAAAGUGCACAAUAAUUACUAUGAAUUACAUCUAACAAAUUGGUACCCUUGUUUUCUUUUGAUGCAGGGGUUUAUGAAUUUGAAAGAACUAUCUAUUGCAAACUUGGAAGGAGUACAAGAUUUAACGCAAGUUGGAUGUUUGGUAAGUAAUAGAAGAGGUGGGCAUGAACUUUCACUCGUGAGUUUGGAAACAUUACGCUUGAAAUUAUUGCCAGACUUGAGGUGUAUAUGGAAGGUUCUCGUGCCAUGCAAUUUGACUACUUUGAAGGUGAAAAAGUGUGAGAGACUGACACAUGUAUUCACAGAUAGCAUGAUUGCUAGUCUAGUUCAACUGAAAGUUCUAGAGAUAUCAGCUUGUGAGGAAUUGGAGCAAAUCGUUGCUAAGGAUAAUGAUGAUGAAAAGGAUCAGAUAUUUUCAGGAAGUGAUCUCCAAUCUGCAUGUUUUUCUAAUUUGUGUCGACUUGAGAUCAGAGGAUGCAACAAGUUGAAGAGUCUCUUCCCGGUAGCCAUGGCUUCAGGUCUCAAAAAGCUCAAAAUACUUGAAGUAAGUGAAUCCUCUCAAUUAUUGGGAGUAUUUGGGCAGGAUGAUCAUGCUUCACCUGUCAAUAUUGAGAAGGAGAUGGUGCUCCCUGAUCUGAAGUUGCUGAUUCUAGAAAAAUUACCAAGCAUUGUCUACUUCAGUCAUGGAUGUUGUGAUUUCAUAUUCCCUUGUUUGUCGAUAUUGGUGGUGCGUCAUUGUCCAAAGCUGUCCACAAGAUUUGCUACUACAUCAAAUGAUUUAAUGAGUGCUCAAUCAAAGGUGCUGUAUAUUUGACAUGAUUUCUUGCCUCUCUUUCAGUGUUUUUAUUUCUUGUUUCCCUCAAUAAUAAGACUUACAAGUUAGAAUGUGUAUGCCAUGCUUGAAUUGCUUUUGCAGGUAUCUCAAGUAGUUGAGGAUUCAAGUACUGGUUGCUCCGUGCCAACCAGCACUGCUAUAAGAUGGACCCGGGAAUAUGGGUGGGAAUUGAAAGAGGAAGAGGAUGGAGUCAGAUGAUUAGUUUGGCAUUGGAAUUUGAAAAACAUGCUAGUAAUUAAUUCUUGCAGGUAAAAUGGCUGCAACUAUUUAUCUUCUAUCCUUGUUUAAAUGGUUGGAUUAAAUCAACAAACACGAGAUGCCUGGAUGAUGUUUGUUCUUGAUGUUUGCAUUAGGUUGGUUGGUUACCUAUGUGAUGAUCAAAUCGACAUUGGUGGGAAGUAAUUCCAGCUGUUUCAUUAGCUACAACAAUUUGUCUUAUUUCAUGUGUUUGUUGUGUGAACUUCCAGAAAUAAGGGUAAUGUUACGUGUUUAGUAAUUUAUUGUGCGAAUCUCCAGAAAUAAGGGCGUAUGUUUGUUUUCCCAUUUGUGUUUCUUUUUCAAGUGUCUGAACCUUAAAAAGCGAGGGCAUAAUGUUUACUCAUUUGUGUGCUUAUGGUUUAAUGUGGGGAUUCUCAUUCUCCUCAUUUUGAUGUUCUAUUUCUAUUACGAUUCUUUAUGUGGUUAAUUUGUUAUUGUGCGUACCGUAUAGUAAUACGGUUUCUACAUGAAUAUAUAUAAAUACAUGUGAAUGAGUAUAUAUAUAAAAAAAUCAAUUUAUAAAUUUAUUGAUAGAAUAUGAAAUUCCAAGGUGUAAGUAAAAGGAUAAAUCCUCUAGCUUUGAAAAGAAUUAGUGUUUGCCUUUGAGAUUGUAAUAUAUUUUUUUUCAGGUCUAUUCAAUUUAAUAUUUUUAAUAAUACAAAUGAAAAUAAACAGCAAAUUUAAUUUAUAAAUGUAACUAUCUCAAAACAAUGUAGAGAAGGAAGAAAGAUUAGUAGAAUAAAAAUAAAAUAAAUAGACUUUUAAAAAGCAAAGAGUUUUAAAUGUUAAAUUUUUUUUUUAUUUAAUAGACCCAAUUUUGUGUUUUUUUUUUUUUUUUAUAAAGAUAACUCUAUUUUAAUUCUGAUUUUUUAGCAGCACAAUUUUUCAUUCAUCAUAACACACACAUAAUAUUUUUUUUAAAUAGUUAACAUGUCAUAUUAACAUAACGGUAAGAUUAUAUUAUAAUGAUGAACAAGAAUGAAGAAUUAUACUAAAUAUAAAAUAAUAAAUCAAAAGCAUCAAUGAAAAAGAAAUCACCUUUCUAUUUAUUUAGGCUGUCUAAAGCUAAAACUUACUAGAUUAAUUUUAUCACACACAACAAUUAAUUAGUCAUUAAAUUUGGACUAUUGUUGAAAAAACAUGCUAAAUACAACAUCAUAAGCCCGAUGGGGAUAUGAACUUAAGCAACUUCUACCCAAAAAAGUGAGGAACAAGUGCCUCAUGGGGAUUAACCUCCUAAGGGACAGAGUUAGCACAAUGAGAUUUUAUCACAUAUUAUUUGUUUAAGAUUUACCAGACUUGUAUCUAAUGAGAUUCUCGUUAUAAAAUAUAUGUGUGUGAGGAGAGUAGUUCAUGAAACUUGAUCAAAGAAAUUCUUUUUUGUAAUUUCACAGAGGCUCGUCUGAUGCAAAAAGGGUUGGAAUCUGAUAAUUGUUGUGUUCAUUGUGGAGCUGUUGGGGAGUCUCGUGAACAUGUACUGGUCCAUUGUUCUUAUAUGAAUGUUAUUGUAAAAUACUAUAUAUGUACGAAUGUGAAUGAGUAAAGGAUAAAUCCUCCAGCCUUGAAAAAAUUAGUGUUGAAAAAAUUAGUAAAGGAUAUGUACUGAUAAUUGUUGAUUUCAUAUUCCCUUUAAGAGCUUGUACGUAGUUGAUUGUAAUUUUUUUUCUCAAAUUUAUUAAAUAUUUUAUUUUUGAUAACACAACAACAACUAACUUUAUAAACGUAACUCUUUCAAAAUAACGAUGAGAAGGAACAAAAAAUUUAAUAAAAACAAAGAGUUAAUGUUAAAAACUUUUUGAAAUUGUCUAUUUUUUAUAGUUAAUUUAGAAUUAUUUUAAUUAAAAAAAUAAACCGUUAUUUAACAUAUACAUCUAUAUAUUUAAACAAAACAUAACUCUAUUUUAAAAUCAAUUUUUUAGCAAACACAUUUUUUUAGCAAACACAAUUUUUCAUUCAAUGUAACAUGUAAUUUUUUUAAGAAUCGUUAACGUGUCAAUAUUAACAUACCAGUAUGAUGCUAUUAUAAUGAUCAACAAGAAUGAAGAAUUACAACGAAUAUAAAAUAAUUAGUAUAAUUGUUUAUGUUUUGCAAUGGAUUAAUAAUAAUUUUUUAAAAAUAUAUAAAAAAAUAUUAAAAAUAUAAAGAAUAUUUUAAGUGUUUUGAGUCAGACGAAUAUACCAGACUCGAGAGUUUUGGAUCUGACAACCCUUACAUAACCUAAGUAAACAACAAACAAAUAGAAAAUAAAUAUGUAUUUUAAUUGUCAAGAGAGAGAAAAAAAAAAGCACAAAUAGUCAAAGAAAUAUUUAACAAAAAGAUAAGAUGAGAAAUUAAAAAUAAAACUAGUAUUAUAAUUUAUAAUUAAAUAUUUUUUGAUCUACAGUAAUUUUCAUAUACUUGUUAUAAUAAAUCAAAAGCAUCAAUGAAAAAUAAACUUCUAUUCUAUUUGGGCUGUGUAAACCUAAACCAACUAGAUUAAGCCCAGAAUGCAUUUUUUAUCACACUGCAACAGGUAGUCCAGUAAAUUUGGAUUAUUGCUGAAAAAACAAGCUAAAUCCAACAUCAUCAGCCAGGCCCACAAUUAAACCAAAAUAGAAACCCAAAGCAAGAGGCCUAUAACAGGAUGUAUCUACUGAAGCCACUUCUCCCUAAAAAAUGGAAGGAAAAAAAAAAAAAAAACUAGGCAACUUGUGAGCCAUCAUGCAUAGCAAAGAGGAAGUGAGGAACAAGUGCCUCAUGGGGAUUCAGCUCCUAAGGGGCUUUAUCCUUCUGGAGACAUGUCUUAUAAGCUAUGAAAAUAGGACGAGAAGGAAUAAUUAUUCCUUACCUGUUCGUUUAUCAUAUUCCAAAUAAUUCGUUGUAUUAUUCCGUUGAUUGAUAGCUUCUAAGACAUGUCUCCAGAAGGAUAAAGCUGUUCAAGCAGGUCUGAACUUUCUCUCUAGCUGGUCUGCUUCUCGGUUUACACCAGCACAUACAGCAAUUCAUCCUAAUUUGCUUAAAUGGGAGAAACCUCCUCCUGGUUUUAUCAAAUGCAAUAUAGAUGCAGCAGUUGACAAUAAUCAAGAGGCUGUGGGAGCAGUGUUUGUCUUGCAUGAUGAGGAGGUGGCUUUGAUAAUGCGUGGCUGCUGGCAUGCUAAUGAUGUUUUUUUCCCAAAGUUAGCAGAGGUAUUAGUUUUGAAAGGGUUUUCUUUCAUCAUAUAUAUAUAUAUAUUGGUAUCACCCUUGAAUAUUAACCAAAUAUAACCUAAAUAACCUAAUUUUUUUUUCAUUUAAUUUCUGAUUUUCUGAAAGCAUUUGAUUAUUACAACAUAAAAUAGGAUAAAAGUUGAAAAACAAAAAGCACCCACACCUACAUAAUAAAAUGGGCUAAUUGUAUGGUCACAAUCACAUUAGCAUUAGCAGAUGUCGGCUAUAAAUUACAAAAUCAAAAUAACCUUAACCAAAAUUGAUUACCCCAAAUUAAUUUUAAAAUUAGAUUUAUUUAACUUAUAUCUAAAAUUUAUUAAUCUGAAUUUCUCCCUAUAAAAAUAUAUGGAACCUGAUAAAAAAACAAUUUCUUCUUCAAUUUUUUUAAUCAUGAUUUGUAAAUCUUGAUAUAAAGAAAAUGAGGAAUGAAUUUCUCAUGACUCCAACAAAGUAUAUGUUCAAGCCUCAUUCUCAAUGUGGAGGGGCGAGAGUAUUAAACUUCAGGAUUAAAAUAUUAUUUGGUUAUUAUUUUGAGAUAAAAAAAUAUAAAGAUAAUGGAAAUAUAAAAGAUAUGUCUUUAUAUAUUUUUUAUUUUAAAAAUAUAAAAAAAAAUUAAAAAAAUUAUUCCCAAAAAAAAUUAUUUUAUGUAGCUAUUUUCAUCUUCACCAUCAAACACAUUUUCAUCACUCCUGUAUUUAUUUAUUUUGUUUUAAAAUAUUAACUAAAUACAGCUUAAUUUUUAAAUCUGAGUUUAUAAAAAAAAUAUGAAUAUCACAACAUAGGAUAAAAGUUUUAAGAAGAAACACUCACAACAACAACAAUAAUAAUAAUAAAAUCUUUACAAAUUUAUGCUAUAAAUGACAAAAUAAAAAUAACCUCAACAAAUCUAGUCCUAAUUUUACAUUAAUCCACAAGCAAGUUGUUAAUUGGUGGCUCAUUCCAGACUGUCAAGUCAAGCAUUGAACCUUGAACUUUUCAAAUUGCAUUUUCGUUUUCAAUAUUUUGUUCCAAAUUGCAUUUUCCCUUUCAUUUUUUUGUACAUUGAUUGAAUGGUACAGUCCUCAUUUUCAUUUACUUUUGGAAAUAAACAAAAAAUUCCUUUCAAGUUUCAAGUUACUAAACGACGUGCAGCUCAAUCAAUGCCUUCAUUGCCUACGGCCUUUAAAAAAUCAACUCAUUAGUUAGUUUCGUCCUUGGCUCGCUUAGAACGACAUCCACCCGAAUGUUUGACAUGUGGCACUUGAAGAUCAGAUUAAGAGAAUGUUAGAUGUUCAAUUAAUCUUUUAAUUAUAGAAAUUUAAAAUUUGUUUUAGAUAAAAUGAUUGGUAGGAGAUAUCUAGUAAGUUAAAAUGACUGAUGUCUAAACUGCUAUGAUGAUAAGUAGUUGUUACUUGCAAAUUUGAUGUGAGUAUUCUUACAUGUUUAAGAAAGAAUUCAUAUAAAAAGAAAAAAUAUAAUAAUAUUUUAAAGAGAUAGACUCUAAAAUUAUUAAAAAUAAAGAUAUUAUUAACCUUAAACUUUGAAGAUUCAUUUAGUAUUUAUAACUCACAAAUCUUGUCUUUUAUGAAGAGAAGAAGUUGAAAAAUAAUUUUAUCCUUGUGGUAUUUUGAGUUUUAUUUCACUCAAAAUAAAAUAUUGUAAAACUCGUAUGGGAUCUUGAAAAAAUUAAUUUGAUUGUGGUAUUUUGAGUUAUAUUUUACUUAAAAUAAUAGUAUUGAAUCAAUAUAAAAUAUUGAGACAUUUAUGUGGGAUCUUGAAAAUAUUAAUUUUAUUUUUAUGAUAUUUUAAAUUAUAUUUUACUCAAAAUAAUAUAUAUUAAUUUAAUAUAAAAUAUUAAAAAACCUGUGUGGGAUCUUAAAAAAAUUUGAACGGAGAGGUAGUUCCGACGAGUUACUUAAGUUUGUUACAAGUGAAAAAUAGAUCAACACGUGCUACAUAUCCACACGUAUUGUCUAAACCCACACAUAUUGGAUUCAAAAUAUACGCUAAAGCCCAUAAAGAAGCUGGGAUGUAUGCGGAAAGGUAUAUGGGUCAAGGCAGCGUCUGGAUUCAAGGGCAGUUAAGCUUUGGGAGGUUUUUUUAUCCCAUUAAAUUUUGGUCUAAAGCAGAUAGAAAGUUAUUGUUUUGUUGAUAGUUAGUCCUUUUCUUUUAUUGACUUGGUUUCUUUGGGUGUUGACUAGUUAUUUAUGGUGAAGUGAUAAUCUCUUUUUUUGUUCUGCAUAUGGUAAUGUGGUGUGAAAUGUUUUUAUAAAAAUAUUUUUUAAUUAAAAAUGUAUUAAAAUAAUUUUUUUCCAUUAAAAACAAACUUUAAAAUCAUUAAAAAAAAUACUUAAAAAAUUAAAUUAACAACAUUAAUUUAAUAUUUUUUAAAAUUAAAUAAAAUUUCAAAAGUAAUUAAUUUAAAUCACCUAUUAAAGCAGAAGGAACAUUUGUGCUUGAAUCCUGAGAUAAUUAAGUAGGAAAAUUUUGCAUUUUAUGAAGUUGUUUUUUUCUUAGUUAUGAUGAUUUAUUUUCUUGGAGGUCCCUAAAGUGGAAUAUUAAUGGUCCCAAAAUUUACAAAGUUUUCCUGCAAUCAAACAGUGCCCUUUUGAAAUUGCUCAAUUAUUAAUCGCUUGGUGUUUUCUUGACAACACAUUACUUUAAUUUUGUGGUUGAUUAGAGCUCUAUCUUCAAAAGUUUAAUCUUCAAAUCUUCUUCUAAAUUCUUUAAUUUUGCUCUCAUAUUGAAUUUAUGAAAAUGUUAUCUUUUUUUAUAUAUUGUUAAAAUGAUGUCAAGUCUUAAAGACUGUUAGCCAUGUGUUCCUAAUUAACUUCUGAUAUUUUGUAUUAUACCUCAUACAUAAUUGCUGGAAGAUAAAAUAAUUUAUUUUUUAUUCAUGUUUAUUAGCUUUCUAUCUAUUAUACAUGCAAAAGUUUAUCUUAUAAUACUUUUAACCAAACGUAUUUUUAAAAAAAACCCAACUAAAAGUGUUUUUGUUAAACCUAUUUUUUUAAAUCGCAACUAUAAAUGCUAUCGUUAUUGUAUGUUUGGUAAUGUGGUGUAGAAUGCUUUUACAAAAAUAUUUUUCAAUUGAAAAUGCAUUAAAAUAAUUUUUUUCAAUUAAAAAAACACUUCAAAAUCAUUAAAAAUACUUCAAAAAUUAAAUUAAUAACAUUAAUUUAAUAUUUUUUUAAAAAAUCAAAUACAAUUUAAAAGGUAAUUAAUUUAAAUCAAAAAAUUAAAUUAACGAGUUUUUCCUUUAUUUGAAAGGGAAGGGCUAAACGAUAUUUGUGUAUUUUCUUUGCACAAUGUGAUUAUUUAAUUACCCUUGGAAAACAAAGAAAAUCACUUGGGUCUAGGGGCUUAUUAGUCUUUGACUUGAUUUUUCAACAAGUAUGUUACUUCAUUGUCCUUAAAAAUUUAAAACAAUUAUAUGACUCUGAGGCUCUUUUAUCAUUUAGAUGUGGUCAUUUAGUAGUUAUUAGGUGUCAUUGGAGACAAUAAGAUAAUUUAGUAAAUAAGAAAAUUAAAUUAAAAAAAUAGAAUCAAGUGAACAAUGUUUGCCACCUCCGAAUGAUGUGUGCGGCAUCAUCCAAUACCCAAAAUGGUGAUUCCAGGGAGGCUUCUGAAGGAUCUCAAUGUCCCCCUACAAAUCAACGACGCGUGUAGCACUAUAGCGGUUGGUGGGACGUGUGUGGCCUUCUGUUUUUUUUCUUUUCCCGUCUCUCCUACUCGAUUUUCGUGUUGGGAUUAAAAAAUCAAAUCAGUCCCUAAAGUUUAUUGUACUUAUGAUUUCAUCCCUUUUCUCUUUAUUAUAAUUUUUUAAAUUUAGAAUACUUUAUGAAAUUAUGUGGUUUUUUCAAUUUCAUAAUUGUUCUCUUUGUUGCCUUUUUUUUUUUAGAAUAGUCUACUAAAUUAAGAAAUGUUUUUAAUUUUAGAUGGUUUUCACAAUAUUUUUUUUACCUUGCAAGAUUUUUUUAUUAUGUCAUCCUCCAACAUUUAAAUAGCCUGGUCUUUAGCUUUUUAGUUGAGUCCGGGUCUAAAAUUUAACGGUUUGUUGGUUUAAGAAAUUGACCCCGGUUUCUUUGUUUUUUUUCCAUCCUCCAACAUUUUGUUAUUUUUUAGUCUUUUUUAAAAUAAUGCAGGUUGCCUUGGUUUUUUUUUUUUUUUUUGUCUUUGUUGAAUUUAGUUUUAUGAAGGAAUUUUAUUUUUAAAUUGAAUUAAAUUGAUUGAUUUCAUCUUCUAACAUUUAUUUUUUUAGGUGUUAAGCUCCUACAUUGAGCCUGAGUCAAAAAUUUAAUGGAUUACGGGUUUAAGAGUUUAACCCGAGUUUAUAGGAUUCACGCUCAAGCUUCUUUGGUGUUUUAUUUCUUUUUUAAGCUGUUUUCUUUUUUCAUAUUUCAAUCUCUAACAUUCUUUUUAUGUUUUUUUUUAUUGGUAUCUCCCUUGAAUAUUAAAAAAAUAUAACCUAAAUAACCUAAUUUUUUUCAUUUAAUUUCUGAUUCUCUUAAAGCAUUUGAUUAUUACAAGGAUAAAAGUUAAAAAAACAAAAGGCACCCACACACCUACAUGAUAAAUCGGCUAUAAAUUACAAAAUCAAAAUAACCUCAGCCAACAUUGAUUACUCCAAAUUAAUUUUAAAAUUAGAUUUAUUUGACAUAUAUCUAAAAAAAAUUAAUCUGAAUUUCUUCCUAUAAAAAAUAUGUGAGCAGAGUAUUUCAUGAAACCUAAUAAAAAUAAGAUUCUUCUUCAAUUUUAUUUUUUUAUCAUCAUUUGUAAAUCUUGAUAGAAAAAAUGAGGAAUGUAUUUCUCAUGCCUCCAAACCUCAUCACUCCUAUAUUUGUUUAUUAUCUCCUAAAUACUAACUAAGCACAACCUAAUUUUUAAAUCUGAAUUUUUUAAAAGCAUUUAAUUAUCAUAACAUGUGAAUAAAAAUUUGUGCUCCAAAUGACAAAAUAAAAAUAACCUCAACAAACAUGAUUAGUACUAAUUAAUUUUUACAUUAAUCCACAAGCAAUUUUUAUUAUUGUUCGUGUUAUUUUUGACCUGUCAAGUUAAUCGAGUCAUAUUGUGUCAACUUUCAUGUUUUUAUUUGUAUUUAAAAUUUGAAUGAAAUAAUUCCAGGUUAAUUUAUUUUUAAAUUUAAAUUUAAAUUAUAUUUAUUAAAUUAUAUAUAUAACCCCAAAAAAACAUGCCAAAAUACCCCAAUAAAAAUCAAUGCAGAGCCUUAAUAUACGUACGGGACUUGUUAUAGAUUUCUUUAAAUUGCUUGAAAACGACUCCGAAGUCCAUGCCAUGUACGCGAAGAAAAAGUGACUCUAGAGACAAGGCCAUCUAAUUAAUUAGGAAACAUUUAUUAUCUUUUACGGCAUUAAAAAUGAGCAGAAGGAGGACUCACUGUAACCCUUCUUAUAAUUUUUUUAUCCACCGUAAUAAUUAUUUUGUUAUUCUUAUAAAAUAUAAAGAUAUUUGUUGUUAAUUGUAAAUUUGGUUGAGAGUAGUUACUGUUAUCUAUUUUUUUUAAUUUUCUAAACUAAAUAAAAAAAUAAACACCAUAAACAAAAAUAAUUUUCUAAAUUAAAUAAAAAUAACUAAAAAAUAAAUAAUUUCCCCUAACAAUCCUCGUGUACUUAUCCUGAGUUAUUUAAUUGUUUGUCUCUAGCUACUGGGGAGCACCGCCAUGAAAAGUUGUGUGAGUGCCUUUGCGCUUCAUGGAUUUCUAACAUAUAAUCAUCCGACUCAGAUAAAAUAUGCCAAGAAUCAGUCCCACUCUCCACUACCAAAUCAUUCUUUAUUGAUGAUGUUUGGACAGUACUGCGGAAGAAGAUGAAGUUCUAGAAUCUAAAUUAUAUUUCUAUCGCAAAACCAUAUAUCAAAUCGAUGUAUGGACAAGUGAAUUCGCAUCAGAAUCCCAUGCAACUUUUCAAACGAGCAGCUAACUCUUUAGAAAUAUUAUAUUGAUAAUUGGCAUAUUCAAAAGUGUACGAGGAUCGAUGACCAAUCUUCAGGUUACUUUGAAAUUCAACAGUUAUAGAAAACAAUAUAGCCCUGAAGUCCAGCUUUAGGUGCAUGUUUUCUGCCUUCUGCACAUAUUUAAAACAAUCGCAUUAUCAGUAUGAACAAAAAGUCGCAUUAUCUUCGCUCUUUUCUCCAAAUAUUUGACACACGGGAAAAAUAAACCUAGUUGUUAAUCUAUAGCAUACCUAAAACCAUCUUCUUUGCGUAAAAAUACAUCAGUCAUGCUAAAACGUCCUGAUACUUUAUCAAAUAGAUAAUAAAUUUAUAUUUUACCAAGUAUAAGAUAUCAGUAAGCCACCUUUUAUUCAUAAAAAAAGUCUACCAGCCACCUUAGUGUUGGUAAAGGCGAAUCGAGAGUCAACAUUCAACACUACAAAGUACAAACUACUCAAUUUAAUGGAAAGAAAAAACAAAUAAAAAGUACACAUAUAAGAUUUAAUGUGGGUCAUUAAGCAAAAUUCUAUCUACUCGGCAGACCUAGAGUAACCAUUCUUUACUUGAGAGGAAAUAUAAGAAUAUCAACGUGAUUUUUAUACUUGAAUAUAAAUUCCAAAACUUCUUUGGUAAACCUACUCACUCACUCAAAAGAAAAAAAUUUGAUGAACAAGAAAGAAAACAGCUUGGUGACUAUUCUCAUAGGCAAAGCCAUGAUGAUUCGUAGAUAAGGGGGAUACAAAUAAAAAUACUAUCCCUUCACACAAAUUUAUGUAUAACUUUUUUAUACAUUUCUAAGAAUUAUCUUUAUAAUUAAUUGCUUAUUAUUAUUUUUAUUUAAAAUAGUUUUAAAAAUAAAAGAAAAUUGAAACUUAAGAAACAUGUUUAAUAAAAAUAAAAAAGGUUAACGGACGCAUGUUAUGUGAUUCGAAGAGUUAUUAUUCUGUCUUAUAUAACAAUGCUAUAACAAAAGGCUGAUAUUAAAUAUAUUACCAUCGAUAGUAGUUUAAGAUUUACCAGACUUGAAUCUAAUGAGAUUCUCGUUAUAAAAUAUAUGUUCUUAUUCAUAGAGUUUAUAAAGGUUAUUACCCUUUUUUAUAUUGUUGAAAUGAUGUCAAAGUCUUAAAGACUGUUAGCCAUGUGUUACUAAUUAACUUCUGAUUUUUUGCAUUGUACGUCGUACAUAAUUGCUGGAAGAUAAAACAAUUUAUUUUUUAUUCGUUUUUUUUUUAUCUAUUUUACAUGCAAAAGUUAUCUUAGAAUACUUUUAACCAGAUAUAUUUUAAAAAAAAACCGCAACUAAAAGUGUUUUUGUUACAUUUAUUUUUUCAAAUCAUAACUAUAAAAGCUAUCAUUAUUGUAUGUUUGGUAAUGUGAUGUAGAAUGAUUUUACAAAAAUAUUUUUCAAUUAAAAAUAUAUUAAAAUAAUUUUUUUCAAUUUAAAAAACACUUCAAAAUCAUUAAAAAAUACUUAAAAAUUAAUUAACAACAUUAAUUUAAUAUUUUUUAAAAUUAAAUACAGUUUCCAAAGUUAUUAAUUUAAAUCAAAAAAUUAAAUGAACAAGUUUUUCCUUUAUAUUAUACUAUAUACUAAAAGAUAGCAGCCUUUCAUUGUGGAUUCGUAUAGUGAAAGACUAAAGGCUGAUUUUAUCCUUUAGUGAGCAAAGUAGCAUGCCUUGAAUUUAGAGAUAUAAUGGUUUUUUUCAUGGGAUACAUUGGUCAUUGUUUCAAAGGGAAGGGCUAAAUGAUAUUCUUGCAUUUUCUUUGCACAAUGUGAUGAUUUAAUUACCCUUGUAAAAAAAUCUUGGGUCUAGGGGGCUUAUUAAUCCUUGACUUGAUUUUUCAACAAGUAUGUUACUUCUUUGCCCUUGAAAAUUUAAAACAAUUAUCUUUGACUCUAACGCUUUUUUGUCAUUUAGAUGUGGUCAUUUAGUAGUUAUUGGGUGUCGUUGGAGAUAAUAAAAUAAUUUGGUAAAUUAAAAAAAAAACAGAAUCAUGUGAACAAUGUUUGCCACCUCCGAACGGUGUGUGUAGCGUCAUUCAAUAGCCAAAAUGGUGAUUCCAGGGAGGCUUCUGAAGAAUCUCAACCCCCCCCCCCCAAUGAAUCAAUGACGCGUGUAGCACUAUAGUGGUUGGUGUGACGCGUGUGACCUUUUGUUUUUUUCCCCUCUCUCCUACUCGAUUUUCAUGUUGGGAUUAGAAAAUCAAAUUAGUCCCUAAAGUUUAUUGUACUUAUGAUUUCAUCCCUAUUCUCUUUAUUAUAAUUUUUAAAUUUAGAAUACUUUAUGAAAUUAUGUGAAAUUAUGUGGUUUUUUCAAUUUCAUCUUUAUUCUCUUUGUUGCAUUUUUUUAAUUUAGAAUAGUCUACUAAAUUAAUAAUUGUUUUCAAUUUCAGAUGGUUUUCACAAUUGUUUUUUUUUUUCAAUUUCAUUAUUUUUUAGUUUUUUUCCUAUUAAAUCUAAUCUUUUUUUAUUAUUGUAUUUUUUUUGACCUUGCAAGAUUUUUUUAGAUUGAUUUUUUUUUAUUAUGUCAUCCUCCAACAUUUAAUUAGCCGAGUCUUUAGCUUCUUAGUGGAGUCUGAGUCUAAAAUUUAAUGGUUUAUUGGUUUAAGAGAUUGACCCCAGUUUCUUUGUUUUUUUUUUCCUUUUUUUUUCCAUCCUCUAGCAUUUUGUUAUUUUUUAAUUCACUUUAUAUUGUAUUUUUUAGUCUUUUUAAAAAUAACGCAGAUUGCCUUGGUUUUUUUUUUUUUUUGUCUUUGUUGAAUUUAGUUUUUAUGAAGGAAUUUUAUUUUUAAAUUGAAUUAAAUUGAUUGAUUUUAUCUUUCAACUUUUAAUUUUUUAGGUGUUGAGCUCUUGCGUUGAGCUUGGGUCAAGAAUUUAAUGGAUUGCGGGUUUGAGAGUUUAACCCGAGUUUAUAGGGUUCACUCGGGCUUCUUUGGUGUUUUGUUUCUUUUUUUAAUCUCUUUUCUUUUUCAUAUUUCAACCUAUAACAUUCUUUUUUUACUCUCUUUUUAUAGGAUUUAUCUUUCUUUUUUAAAAUAACAAGGGUUGCCUCAAAGUUUUUUCUUUCAAUCUUUGUUAAAUUUUGCUUCUUUAAAAGGAUUUUUUAAUUAAAUUAAUUUUUUUAAUUUCAUCCUCGUGUAUUUAAAUUGAGGCAAUACAUGAGAGAAUUUUUUUUUAAUUAAGUUUUUUGAAAAUUGGUAUUUGUUUUUCCAUUUUUUUCUAUAAAGUUAUCCUGAUAUUAUGUCUCAAGUCAUCGAUUCAAUAGAUUUACCAAGUUUGACUUAGGUAUUUUUUUCAUUUCUUUUUAUUUGUUUUAUCUUGAGUCAAUGAUCAAAAUCUUAAUUUUUUUUAAAAAAAAUGCAUCGUCAUAGUGUUUUUUUUACUUGGUUUUUUUUUUCUAAAUCUAUAUUUCUUUCUCUAUUUUCAUACUUCAACAUUUAGUUUAUUAGAGACCGGGUUUAAUAAUUUAUUGUAGUUUGCUUUAUAUAUGGUUAGUUCAGUUUCUUUAUACGCUAUAAACUAAAAGAGGUGGUGAAUUUACUAUUUACCGCCUCACAAAACACUAUUCAUUCCAAUAAUAUUUUUUUAAUUUUGUUUUUUGUUUUCUAAAUCUAUAUAUUAUUUCUCUAAUUUCAUAUUUCAACAUUUAGUUUAUUGGAGACUGAGCUUACUAAUUUAUAAUAGUUUGCUUUAUAUAUGGUUAGCUAAGUCUAAUAACUCGUAUUACGGGUUUGACGAGUUAGCUCAAUUUUUUUUUUUGUCUUUUUAUAAUUGGUAUUUUUUAAUUUUAUCAUUCAAUAUUGGGUUAAUUAUGAAUUAAGCUUCAUGAUUUAUUUUGAUUUGUUUUUUAUGAGGUUAUCCUGGUUUUAUGACUCAGGUCACGUGUUUUACGAAUUAAGUCGUGUAGACUCAGGUCUUUUAUUAUAUAAUAUUUUUAGAUUGAUUUUUUUUUUCAAUUUCAACCUUAAACAAUAAGUUUAUUGAAAAUUAAGAUUUAUAAUUUGUUUUGAUUUACUUUUUAUAAAGUUAUCACAAUCUCAUGACCUUGGUUGCGGGUUUGGCAAGUUAAUCUAGGUUGAGACUCACGCUAUUUUUUUUGUUUACUUUCUAUGAAAAAUUAAAAUAGUUUAGUAAUAAAAUUAAUAUAAAAAAUAAAUUGGGUGCAAAAUUGAUAACACCCAUGUAGUUUAAUGGUAUAUUUUUUUUUUAAACAAAAGGCUAUCAUUUUGAAAGUUUUAUUAAAAAGUCAUGUUUUUAACAAUCAUUAAGAUUGUAUUUUGAUCCAUAAAAUCAAUUAAUUUAAUUUAAGUUAAAUUUUACAUGAUUUAAUUAAAAACUUGAGUUAGAUAAAAAAAAACUAAAUUAUAAAAUUAACUUAUUAAAUCAAUAAUAUAAUUAAAAGAUCUUCAUGCUUUUAAUAUUUUUUUACAUUUAAAAAAAAUUAUCCAAUGAAUAACAGUUCAAUAAACUAGUAGAAGUUAGAUCAUGAGACACUCACAUCAGCUGAACUACUUCAUGAUUGAUAUGUUUUAAAUUAGCAAUUAAAAUAUCAAAGGAUUUCUGGGACACUCCCAAUGAUAUUAAUUUGUAAAAUACUUAAUUUUUUUAGGUAAUUGUAACAUAAAUCCUUAAUUGAAAAAUAAAAAUAGUUUACUAAUAAAAUUAAUAUAAAAAAUAAAUUGGGUGCAAAAUUGAUAACACCCAUGUAGUUUAAUGGUAUUUUUUUUUAAAAAAAGCUAUCAUUUUAAAAGUUUUAUUAAAAAUUAAGUCAUGUUUUUAUCAGUUAUUAAAAUUAUAUUUUAAUCCAUAAAAUCAAUCAAUUUAAUUUAAGCUAACUUUUACAUGAUUUAAUUAGAAAGUUAGAUAAAAAAAACUAAAUUGCAUGAUUUUAUAAUUAACUUAUUAAACCAGAUUUAAUAAUAUAAUUAAAAGAUUCUUCAUGAUUCUUCAAAAUUUACAUGAUUUAAUUAGAAAGUUAGAUAGAAACUAGAUCAUAAGACACUAACGUCAGAUGAACUACUUCAUGAUUGAUAUGCUUUAAAUGAGCAAUUAAAAUAUCAAAGGAUUUCUAGGAUACUCCCAAGAUGUUUAAUUAUUAGAGGGUUAAUUUUAGUUCCCUGAUAUCUUCUGAUUGUUGCUGGUUGUAGAUUUCCUCCUUCUUCCAUCUUGAUGACUGCUACUCAUAUCAAAGGAUUUGCAAACUAAAUUCAUGUUUUUUUUUUUUUUUUUUUUUUUUUUUUUUUUAAGUUGAAAAUUCAGUUGAAUCAACCAGAUCAGAUCAGAUCAGAUCAGAUCUAGAUUUAAUCAACUUAAUUUUAUUUGAAAAUGACAGGGAAUUGACAUUCUUAACUUUAUUUGUUUGUCAUUAUCUUUAUAUUAUGCUUUUUAUCUUAAUUAUUUCAUAAAAUUGCAUUUUUAUGGGAAUUGCUGCUUUAAACUCAUAAGUGUAAACUAUUUUGUUUCAAUGUAUUCGUUAGAUCGGUGGUAUGCUAUCUUUCACUAAUGAAAUUCUGUUUAUUGGUUUUGAGAAGAAAAAAAAAAGUAUUUCUAUCUUUGUUUUAUGGAAAAAGCACAUAGAUCCAAGAACUAGAUAUAACAAAAGAUAUUCGAGGAAAUGAGUGUUUAAAAUUAGAUAAAGCUGUUGUGUAAAUAAGCGUAUGAUGCAGAGAUAGUCAUUACAGAUUUUAGUUGGCUAAGAUUGAUCCUUUGUUGAGUUCGUUCCAUUAAUUAUACUUCCUUGCAAGUCUUUUUUGUCUCCUUAUUCAUAACUUUUUUUUUUAAAAAAAAACAUUGACCUAUCAUAGCUUUAGAUUGAUUAGAUGAGUUGUUGGAAGCGAUGAGCAGCUCGUAUCAUUCGUGCAGGUGUCAAAGUGAUCAUCAUCAACCUUCCAUACAGAGAGACUGGUGGAAAAUGGCUAUCGAAAGUGUUGGUGGGUCCGUUGUAUCUAAGAUAGCAGAGCUCUUGGUGGAACCAGCAAUCAAGCAGUUCCGUUACAUGUUCUGUUUCAACAAUUUUGUUCAAGAAUUCGAUGAACAAAUGAUGAACCUGGCUUUGGCAUUUUAUCGUCUGCAAGAUGCUGUCAACGUAGCUGAAAGGAAUGCUGAAGAAAUUGAGAUUGAUGUCAACACAUGGCUGGAAAAUGCAAAAAACGAAAUUGAAGGUGUGAAUCGUUUGCAAAAUGAAAAAGGAAAAAUCAUCAAAUGCUUUACUUGGUGUCCAAAUUCGAUGCGACAAUUCAAGUUAAGCAAGGCACUGGCAAAGAAGACGGAGACUUUGAGAAAACUUGAAGAAAAUAGCAGAAAGUUUCCAAAAGUGUCCCACAAAGCACCUCUUCAAGAGAUAAAAUUUCUUCCAUCAAAGGAAUUCACACUCUCAGGAUCGUCAAAAGAAGCUUUCAAACAGAUUAUGAAAGCUCUCAAAGAUGACAAGGUCAAUAUGAUCGGACUGUACGGCAUGGGAGGGGUGGGUAAAACCACCCUGGUGAAAGAAGUAGGCAGGAGAGCCAAAGAGUUGCACCUUUUUGAUGAAGUUUUGAUAGCUACGGUGUCCCAGAAUCCAAAUGCCACAGGCAUCCAGGAUCAAAUGGCAGAUAGUUUAGAUCUGCAAUUUGACAAGAAGAGUAAAGAAGGGAGAGCAAAAGAACUAUGGCAGAGACUGCAGGGAAAGAAGAUGCUUAUAGUCCUGGAUGAUGUUUGGAAAGAUAUUGACUUCCAAGAGAUAGGGAUCCCAUUUGGUGAUGAUCACAGGGGUUGUAAAAUUCUUCUAACAACACGUCUUGAAGACAUGUGUUCUUAUAUGAAGUGCAAGGAAAAAGUUUUUUUAUGUCUCUUUUCUAAAGAGGAAGCAUGGGCUUUAUUCAGAAUCAAUGCAGCUUUACGUGACGAGGACUCUACCUUGAACAGGGUGGCAAAGAAGGUUGCGAGAGAAUGUAAUGGAUUGCCUGUAGCACUUGUGACAGUGGGAAGGGCUCUAAGAGAUAAAUCUGUUGUUGAGUGGGAAGUAGCGUCUGAAGAGCUCAAAAACUCUCAAUUUCGGCAUUUGGAACAAAUUGACGGACAAAAAAAUGCAUAUGCAUGUCUUAAGUUGAGCUAUGAUUAUUUGACGUCCGAUGAAACCAAGUCAUGUUUCUUGCUAUGCUGUUUAUUUCCAGAAGAUUACGACAUUCCGAUUGAGGACUUGACGAGAUACGCAGUUGGCUAUGGGUUACAUAAAGAUGCGGAGUCCAUUGAAGAUGCAAGGAAACGAGUUUAUGUGGCAAUCAAAAACCUCAAAGCUUGUUGUAUGCUGUUAGGAACUUUUAGUGAAGAAUAUGUCAAAAUGCAUGACUUGGUUCGUGAUGUUGCUAUUCGGAUAGCAUCAUCAGAAAAAUACGGAUUCAUGGUAAAGGCUGGCAUUGGGUUGCUAGAGUGGCCAACGAGCAAUAAAAGCUUUGAAGGUUGUACAACAAUUUCGUUAAUGGGCAAUAAACUAGCAGAACUUCCUGAAGGAUUGGUGUGUCCACAGCUCAAAGUUCUAUUGUUAGGACUGGAUCGUGGUUUGAAUGUUCCAGAGAGGUUUUUUGAAGGGAUGAAAGCAAUAGAAGUUUUGUCUCUAAAGGGAGGGUGUUUGUCAUUGCAAUCACUUCAAUUCUCAACGAACCUUCAAUCGUUGCUGUUGAUCGAGUGUGAAUGCAAGGACCUCAUUUGGUUGAGAAAGCUGCAAAGACUUAAUAUUCUUGUUUUCAGGCGGUGCGGCUCCAUUGAAGAAUUACCUGAUGAAAUUGGGGAGCUCAAGGAGUUGAGGUUGUUGGAUUUGACAGGUUGUGAAAAUCUAAGAAGGAUUCCUG